GCAGGGCAUGGUGGUGCACACCUGUAAUCCCAGCAGCUUGGGAGGCCGAGGCAGGAGGAUCAAGAGUUUAAAGCCAGCCUCAGCAACUUAGUGAGGCCCUAAGCAACUCAGUGAGACCCUGUCUCUG
Molecule: small RNA, 127 nt
Filed under: Marmota monax (woodchuck)
Lineage: Eukaryota; Metazoa; Chordata; Mammalia; Rodentia; Sciuridae
Source: RNAcentral